Molecule: ribosomal RNA, 655 nt
Filed under: Neolentinus schaefferi
Lineage: Eukaryota; Fungi; Basidiomycota; Agaricomycetes; Gloeophyllales; Gloeophyllaceae
Description: LSU rRNA
Rfam family: Eukaryotic large subunit ribosomal RNA
Source: RNAcentral
GGAUUCCCCUAGUAACUGCGAGUGAAGCGGGAAAAGCUCAAAUUUAAAAUCUGGCAGUCUUUGGCUGUCCGAGUUGUAUUCUGGAGAAGUGCUUUCCGCGCUGGACCGUGUAUAAGUCUCUUGGAACAGAGCAUCAUAGAGGGUGAGAAUCCCGUCUUUGACACGGACUACCAGUGCUUUGUGAUGUGCUCUCAAAGAGUCGAGUUGUUUGGGAAUGCAGCUCAAAAUGGGUGGUAAAUUCCAUCUAAAGCUAAAUAUUGGCGAGAGACCGAUAGCGAACAAGUACCGUGAGGGAAAGAUGAAAAGCACUUUGGAAAGAGAGUUAAACAGUACGUGAAAUUGUUGAAAGGGAAACGCUUGAAGUCAGUCGCGUUGGCCGGAACUCAGCCUUGCCUUUUCGCUUGGUGUAUUUUCUGGUCGACGGGCCAGCAUCGAUUUUGACCGCUGGACAAGGAUCGGUGGAAUGUGGCACCUCCGGGUGUGUUAUAGACACUGGUCGUAUACAGUAGUUGGGAUCGAGGACCGCAGCNNNNNNNUUCGGCUUAGGAUGCUGGCGUAAUGGCUUUAAACGACCCGUCUUGAAACACGGACCAAGGAGUCUAACAUGCCUGCAAGUGUUUGGGUGGAAAACCCGAGCGCGUAAUGAAAGUAAAAG